GCAGUCGACGGUAACGGGAGAAGCUUGCUUCUUUGCUGACGAGUGGCGGACGGGUGAGUAAUGCUUGGGAAUCUGGCUUAUGGAGGGGGAUAACUACGGGAAACUGUAGCUAAUACCGCGUAAUAUCUUCGGAUUAAAGGGUGGGACUUUCGGGCCACCUGCCAUAAGAUGAGCCCAAGUGGGAUUAGGUAGUUGGUGGGGUAAAGGCCUACCAAGCCGACGAUCUCUAGCUGGUCUGAGAGGAUGACCAGCCACACUGGAACUGAGACACGGUCCAGACUCCUACGGGAGGCAGCAGUGGGGAAUAUUGCACAAUGGGGGGAACCCUGAUGCAGCCAUGCCGCGUGAAUGAAGAAGGCCUUCGGGUUGUAAAGUUCUUUCGGUGAUGAGGAAGGUGUUUGUUUUAAUAGAACAAGCAAUUGACGUUAGUCACAGAAGAAGCACCGGCUAACUCCGUGCCAGCAGCCGCGGUAAUACGGAGGGUGCGAGCGUUAAUCGGAAUGACUGGGCGUAAAGGGCACGCAGGCGGUGACUUAAGUGAGAUGUGAAAGCCCCGGGCUUAACCUGGGAAUUGCAUUUCAUACUGGGUCGCUAGAGUAUUUUAGGGAGGGGU
RNAcentral lists this ribosomal RNA (613 nucleotides) under uncultured bacterium. RNAcentral's name for it is "bacterial SSU rRNA". It matches the Rfam family "Bacterial small subunit ribosomal RNA", at positions 57 to 662 of the family's 1533-position model. The record is from RNAcentral.